GACGGAGGGUGCAAGCGUUGCUCGGAAUCAUUGGGCGUAAAGGGUGCGUAGGCGGCUUUUUAAGUCUGACGUGAAAGCCCAGGGCUUAGCCUUGGAAGUGCGCCAGAAACUAGAAGGCUAGAGUGCCGGAGGGGAGAGUGGAAUUCCUGGUGUAGCGGUGAAAUGCGUAGAUAUCAGGAGGAAUACCGGUGGCGAAAGCGACUCUCUGGACGGUAACUGACGCUGAGGCACGAAAGCGUGGGGAGCAAACAGG
Molecule: ribosomal RNA, 253 nt
Filed under: uncultured bacterium
Lineage: Bacteria
Description: partial 16S ribosomal RNA
Rfam family: Bacterial small subunit ribosomal RNA
Source: RNAcentral